RNAcentral lists this ribosomal RNA (591 nucleotides) under Lactiplantibacillus plantarum. RNAcentral describes it as "bacterial SSU rRNA". It matches the Rfam family "Bacterial small subunit ribosomal RNA", at positions 596 to 1187 of the family's 1533-position model. The record is from RNAcentral. Lineage: Bacteria; Bacillati; Bacillota; Bacilli; Lactobacillales; Lactobacillaceae.
GAAAGCCUUCGGCUCAACCGAAGAAGUGCAUCGGAAACUGGGAAACUUGAGUGCAGAAGAGGACAGUGGAACUCCAUGUGUAGCGGUGAAAUGCGUAGAUAUAUGGAAGAACACCAGUGGCGAAGGCGGCUGUCUGGUCUGUAACUGACGCUGAGGCUCGAAAGUAUGGGUAGCAAACAGGAUUAGAUACCCUGGUAGUCCAUACCGUAAACGAUGAAUGCUAAGUGUUGGAGGGUUUCCGCCCUUCAGUGCUGCAGCUAACGCAUUAAGCAUUCCGCCUGGGGAGUACGGCCGCAAGGCUGAAACUCAAAGGAAUUGACGGGGGCCCGCACAAGCGGUGGAGCAUGUGGUUUAAUUCGAAGCUACGCGAAGAACCUUACCAGGUCUUGACAUACUAUGCAAAUCUAAGAGAUUAGACGUUCCCUUCGGGGACAUGGAUACAGGUGGUGCAUGGUUGUCGUCAGCUCGUGUCGUGAGAUGUUGGGGUUAAGUCCCGCAACGAGCGCAACCCUUAUUAUCAGUUGCCAGCAUUAAGUUGGGCACUCUGGUGAGACUGCCGGUGACAACCGGAAGAAGGUGGGGAUGACGUCC